RNAcentral lists this ribosomal RNA (691 nucleotides) under Ligilactobacillus ruminis. RNAcentral's name for it is "bacterial SSU rRNA". It matches the Rfam family "Bacterial small subunit ribosomal RNA", at positions 776 to 1471 of the family's 1533-position model. Lineage: Bacteria; Bacillati; Bacillota; Bacilli; Lactobacillales; Lactobacillaceae. The record is from RNAcentral.
GAUUAGAUACCCUGGUAGUCCACGCCGUAAACGAUGAGUGCUAAGUGUUGGAGGGUUUCCGCCCUUCAGUGCUGCAGCUAACGCAUUAAGCACUCCGCCUGGGGAGUACGGUCGCAAGACUGAAACUCAAAGGAAUUGACGGGGGCCCGCACAAGCGGUGGAGCAUGUGGUUUAAUUCGAAGCAACGCGAAGAACCUUACCAGGUCUUGACAUCUUCUGACAAUUCCAGAGAUGGAACGUUCCCUUCGGGGACAGAAUGACAGGUGGUGCAUGGUUGUCGUCAGCUCGUGUCGUGAGAUGUUGGGUUAAGUCCCGCAACGAGCGCAACCCUUAUUGUCAGUUGCCAUCAUUAAGUUGGGCACUCUGGCGAGACUGCCGGUGACAAACCGGAGGAAGGUGGGGAUGACGUCAAAUCAUCAUGCCCCUUAUGACCUGGGCUACACACGUGCUACAAUGGACGGUACAACGAGUCGCUAACUCGCGAGGGCAAGCUAAUCUCUUAAAGCCGUUCUCAGUUCGGAUUGCAGGCUGCAACUCGCCUGCAUGAAGUCGGAAUCGCUAGUAAUCGCGAAUCAGCAUGUCGCGGUGAAUACGUUCCCGGGCCUUGUACACACCGCCCGUCACACCAUGAGAGUUUGUAACACCCAAAGUCGGUGGGGAACCUUGGAGCCGCCGCUAAGGGACGAAGAGG